AGUCCCUUCGCUGGAUGCUGAGCUCAGGAAGUCAUUUCUAGCUCACCUUCCCCAGAGUCCACUGUCCUGAGAGGCAGGUGACUUUUAUGGUCCUGUGCUCCGCUGACCUUUUAGGGGGCAAGUUUUCUUCAACAGGUGGGAAGAAGGCAGGGGGUCUCUCUAUAGGAAGGAGGGGGAGACACAAUCUCACUAAGCACAUAACAGCUGCUAAGGCCGCUGGGAGCUAGCCAUCCUGGCACUGCAGAGGCUAGCCAUCCUGGCACUGCAGAGGCUAGCCAUCUUACUACUGCGGAAGCAGUAAUGAGGACUAACCAGCAAAUGCAAGCAAGGCUAUUUAUCUUUUGCUGGCUGGGGUCAGCCAUCAUUGCCUGUGUUCAGUAGUGACUCAGAGGCAGGAGAAAGCUUUUCCAUGAAGAUUCAGACAUCCCCUGACCAGGGACCACUGGAGGCCAGCUACAAGGAGCACCCAUGGGAUUGGGUAUGCACUGGCUCUCCAAACUGGAAUUAAUUGACAAAAGUUAGGAAAGGCUGCUCAUUGUAGAUAAGAGAUUGCUGAGGGUUGUGAGUCCGGAUCUGUUUUGAAGUGAGAAGCAUAGGGAAGAGACUCACCUCAAAUCACCACUCAUAAGGGGCCCAGUAGGAGCUGCACCCAUGCAACCGCCUCCAGCAAACAGAACCUCUAACAACUGGUGCACUUAUGCCAGUGGCCCAGUGAGUUCCCAGCGCUGAGGCCACUGCCCCCAGCAUUGCUGUGUCCUCUCUGACGAUGCUCCGGAUGUCCCCCUAUACCCACAGGGUUUUUCUAUGGAGCCCAUGCCAACCACAAACUUGACAUUCGCCUGCCUCAGCCUUCUACGUGCUCAGCUUAUAGGUAUGUGUCCCCAGGCUUGGCACACUGUGGUUCCUUGGCAUUUUAAGUAUUUCAAUAACUCAGUUUUGCUUUGAAUGGAAAAUGUUUCCUGGAAGUUGUCUACUCUAUCAUGCAGAAGACUUUAACCCCCAGGCUCCCAAGACUCCCUGCAGCCAUCAGGACCACAUGUUUCAGGGCCUUUCUGGGUGUCAGCUUCCCCUGUGCAGCCUGUCUUGGGAGUAGAAUAGGUAGGCACGGAAGGGUCUGGCUUUGUCCUGGACUUCUUGGGGGUCUGUCUUUUCUCUGGGCCAGCAGCACAGCCAGGGCAUUAGAAGUGUGGUCACCAAAUAAGUACCUGAGCGUCUCUGAGGUAAAAACUUAGAUCCUUACGGCUGAAAUGAGUCUUGGGAUCCUGGCCUCAAUUUCCCUGAGAACAGGGCACUGAGAGCCCCACUUGGAGGAUAAAUGGGGGUCAGACUCAGACUUCUGGCCCUGACCUGGAUGGACCCCUGCUCCUGUCUCCCUGCCAGCCACAGGUGGUCUUUCUCUUCCUUUCCUACUUCUAGUCUCAGGUGGUUGCCACUUAUCAGGGUGCUGAGGCAAUCAGAAUGCAGAUGGUUGAUCUGCUGUUUUAAAGAUCUUUGAGGCAGGAGAACGGUGAGUUCAAGGCCAGCCUGGGCUCCAUAGCACGCCCCUGCUUUUAAAAAGAGAGUGGAGUGGGGAGACGGCAGAGUCAGUAAAAUGCUUGCUCUCUAACAGGAGAACCCCAGUUCAACCCCCAGAAUGGAUGUAAAAAAAGCCAAGAACAGUGGUGUGUGUUUGUGUUCCUGGUUCAGAGAGACAGGCAGGCAGAUCCUUGGGGCUAGAUGGCAGCAAGCCUAGCUGAAUUGGUGAUUCCAGGUCAGUGAGAGAUCUUGUCUAAAAAUUCAAGGUGGAGGCUCAAGAGAGAUGGCUCAGCCAUUAAGAACAUUUGUUACUCUUACAGAGGAACCUAGGUUCAGAUUUCAGCACCCGCACAGUUUCACAAUCACCCAUAAUUCUGUUUCAAAGGAUCUUCUGACCCCUGUGGGCACCAGGCACACAUGUGGUGCAAAGACAUGCAUACAAGCCAAACAGUCAAUCAUACAAAGAUAAAGCAAAUACUCCUGAAAGCCAAACAAACUGUCAAGUGAUUCAAGAAGACAGCCAAUGUUGACCUCUGGCCUCCAAGUGCACAUUGUACUCUUGUGUACCUGUGUACAAAUAAACACACACAUAUGUACAACACACACACACACACACAAAAUACAAAAUGCAAAUAUAUGCAGAGUUCCUAAUUCCCCAAGUUUGGCUUCAGUGUUAUCUGUCGCUGGGAGUUAUAUACGUGUUCCCAAGGACAAAACUGAGACAACACUGCUUCCCUGUUUCCCCAGUACUCAGCAACUGUUCCCCUGGCAAGCCGUUCUGACUACAGCUUUCCAAGACAAGGUCUCCCACUUUGCAUAGCAGCAAACUGAGGCUCCAAGAGGAACGUCACAUGAGUACUUGAAGUCAGGUGGCUGAGACAGAUUCCCAAGGCGAGGGUGCACCUCUAGGUAGCUGCAGCCCUGGUUCACGUGAGAAGAGCCCACCCAGACUACAUGGGAAACGGGUAGACAAGGACCACUCAGGAGGACUUGAGUGAGACAGGAUGAAGGGUAUUACCUUGUCUGUUGACCUCUCCUCCUUCCCAGCUUCUUGGUGACUUGGCUCCUGUAGUGGUUUAUUCUUCUGGAGAUUCCAAAUCUUGGAUUCAAAGAAUUACUUGAGCAUGGUGGCAUCCACACAGCAGUCUGACACCAUGGGUCCCUUACCCACUUUAAUGCCCCAUCUCUCCAGAGUCAACUGCAUUUUCUGUGUGAGCAUGGGUGUGUGCGUAUGAGUGCAUGUGGCUGUGGGUGCACAUGCCAGCUAGCUCAGGGAUCUGCUCGUCUGCAUCCCUAGCACUGGGAUUAUUGUGUGAUUAUUGUGUGAGUGCAUCUGGCUGUGGGUGCACACACCAGCUAGCUCAGGGAUCUGCUUGUCUCUGCAUCCCUAGCACUGGGAUUAUUGUGUGUCACUGCAUAACUCUUUUGCUUUGUGUUGUUUUCCACAGGCUCUGGGGACUGAAGUCUGCCCUGAUGCUUGCACAGCAGACGUUUUCCUGAGGAACCAUCUCCCCAACCUCUGUAUUUCUCUUUGCAGUUGAGAUCUGACCCACGGCCGGAUUCCAAUCCUGAACCUUGUGCUUAUGUCACCAACGAGAUGGGACAUGCUGCCACAACAGGAGCUGAGAGCUUGGGGAGGGUGCUGUCCAAAUUCUGUUGUAUCACAGCAGGGAGGGAAGGGCCUGAGGCACGAGACCGAGAGGGAGUCAGGAGAUUGCCUUUCUAUUCUUAGUUCUGCAAUGAGCUUGCUGUGUGCCCUUGGGCAGAUCAGUUCCUCUCUCUAACCCUCAGUUUCCUCAUUUGCUACAACCAAAUGCAGAAUCUUCAAGGCUUUCCCUUUCAGUUCUAACGAGCCCACAGUUCUAGCUGGGAUGCGGGAUGUGUGUGAAGAAAUCUGAGUCUUGGUUUCAUUUCGUAACUUGGGCCCCUCAGCACUUCCCAGCUGGGGCUGGGAACAGGACCAACAUUCAUUGACAAAUGAAGAGUGUGUGCAGAGCCUCGAUACCCAGAUAAUAACAAAGAACCUUAAACAUGAAAAAAACACAUGAAAGGUAAUAUGUUCCCCAUUAGUCCCAGUAUCAUUUCCCCAGGAUUACUGCUUUCCAAAUAUAGCAUUAGCUUAAAAAUAAAAGGCCGUUUACAGUAAUGGGACACUCGGUACUACUCUGGAGCAUGUGGGCUCUCCAAGGGCCUUGUACAACGGCUUCAUUAAGUGGGAACUGCAGGGGAGAAAGGCUGGCUUUAAAAAAAAAAAUCCCAGCAUGCCUCCUCAAAGGCCCCCAGAUAGGCCACCUACCCUGACCCAAGGCCCGUGUCUAACAAGCUCUUAAUUCCGCUUUCAGAACUGCUUUUUCACGCGUUGUUUCUUCCAGAGAUGAAAACAUUUUCCAAGCUGACAAGCCAUCAACUGGGUGCCACCCGGGAAGAGAAGCCUUGGUCCAGAGCUCUGUAUUCUGCCCUCACAGGCAGGAGAACAUGGAACUGCCAUCCAUACCCAAUGGGCCAUCCUGGGUUUGGGAGGUCUCUUUUACCCUGAGAUCCAGCAGGUUCAAGCGAAGUUAUGAGAGCAGACUCAAGGAUCAUGUCUACCAACCAGUUUGUCUUAGUGUUCAUGGACCAGAGACUGCUUUGCCUGUUGGGGUUGGCUGAAGCCUGUUAUACAGUUACAUAAGCUAAUUUAUCUGGGGGACAAAGCCGUCGUGUACACAGAAGGGCCUUCUUAAAUGGCAGCUAGGGCCACUCUAAUUUUCUUCCAUGGGCUGGUCUGUAUGUGACAAGACCCCACUGGAAACUGACAGUUGGCUGAGGGUGUCUGUUGGCUGUUUUGGUGCAACAUUGCAGGCCCCCUAUGACUCGGGGAGCAAGCCUCCCGGCAUCCACUAAACACCCAGUUCUUAGAGGCUCCACAGAGUGAGGGAGCAGCCUGAGGGGAGAUGUGCUUCAAAUCCCCAACUGGAUGCCAACCUUACCUCAGUUGUCAGCAGGGAGGGGGAGGUCCAGAGGGUACAUGGAGGGCAAGACAGAGAAACAAGAGCAUACACUUAUUACUUUUGCCCUGGGUGGGGGUCACUUCACUAGGCCCGUCUUUGUCUUGGGGAUGGGGUGGUGGGGGAGUUCCUUGGUUAAGAUGGGGAUAGCGUCACUGUGGCCAUUUGAGGAAGCAACUCACUGGGCUGUUAUCAGCUUUGGAUUUCCUUGGCUGAGCUCAGUUACUGUUCAGCGUUCUUGUCCUUGAAGCCAAAAUGGCUAAUUUCUCAUGCUUCUGGCUCUGUGGCUGGCAUGUCUCCCUUGAGGUGAGAGAACGAGUUAGCUGCUCCCACAUGAGGAAUAUCCCCGGCUCUCCAGGUCCUGCCCAGGCAUCACAUGGAUUUAUCCUCUCAUUGGUCCCCACAGGAUCAUGGCAAUCCAUGUGUGAGUGACUUGCAGAGAAGGGGGUUGGAGUGAUGAGAGGUCGAGCCACCUGCCAAGGCUGCAGCAGCUGAGCAGUAGAUGGCAGGUGGUUAGUGUGUUAGAGCCCCUGCCUUGAGUACUGGACCUCAUCAUUUGUUAGAACUCAGCUCUGUGGUGUCUACUGACUACAUCCAAGUCUCUCAUAAGAUAGAAGACAGAGCCAGCCCUUGGUCACAAUGCCUGAUUUAGAAUCGUGGUUUUUUAUGGGUUACUGCUUCCUCAGGAGGUUAGGUUUGACAUUCUGGAGACCACUCAAGGCACAGGUUUGGACUGAGUCCUUUGGCCUAGAGGGAUCUACAGUGCAGUCCCAGGCAGGACUCCUGUCCUCCAGGGCUCACACAGUUUCAGUGAUUUGGACUGGGAUAAUUGCAAAAGGAAUUUGCACCUACAGAAGAGGAAAGGGAAGCUAGGAGGAAGAGCCAUGUCCAAGGUUCAGACACUGGGCUGUGGCCCUGAGUUUAGAAUGUCUUCUGUUUAACCGUUGUUGAGUGUGCAGAUUAGAAUAUUUAUUUAUUUAUUUAUUUAUUUAUUUAUUUAUUUAUGUCAAGUUGACACAGCUAGAAAAAGGAAAUGUCACUUGAGAAAAAGCCUCCAUCAGAUUGUCCAGUAGGCACGUUUGUGGGGCUUUUUCUUGAUUAAUGAUUUCUGUGGUAUAGCUCAAUCCACUGUGAGCGAUGCACCUUGGGCAGGUGGUCCCGGGUCGUAUAAGAAAGGCUGGGCAAGCCAUGGCAAGCAAGCCAGGAAGCAGUGUUCUUCUACAGUCUUUGCUCCAGUUCCUGCCUUGAGUUCCUGCCUUGACUUCCCUAAUUGAUGUUCUCUAAACCAAAUAAACACUUCUCUACACAAA
Non-coding RNA from Cricetulus griseus (Chinese hamster), 5812 nucleotides. NCBI's taxonomy places the organism in Eukaryota, Metazoa, Chordata, Mammalia, Rodentia, Cricetidae. The record is from RefSeq and is a predicted model, not a curated record.